Mytilus californianus (California mussel) is the source of this 1045-nucleotide long non-coding RNA. RefSeq lists it as uncharacterized. The record is from RefSeq and is a predicted model, not a curated record. The transcript has 2 exons. NCBI's taxonomy places the organism in Eukaryota, Metazoa, Mollusca, Bivalvia, Mytilida, Mytilidae.
GUGACAGAUAUUUGACAUAAAUUUUGGAUAUAGAUGACGUUACAAUUAUUCCUUCGAUUUUAUGUUUAUCACGUUUUAUAUUAUUGUAAUAGAAAAAUGCAGUUUAUUUUAUUUCAUAUAGUUUAUUAGUUAAUGUAUGUAAGUUCUACUCUGUAAACUAUUUUAUACAAAAUUAUUGUUUAACUGUUCUAUACAUUUUCAAAGCGUAGGAUAUUUCAAACAUGUCAAAUAAAUACUUUAACAAACUAUUGAACGUAUCUGUGCAAUAAAACUUCAGCUGUGGCCAAAUGGACCUUCGAUUAUAUGUCCAGCAAAGUUAAUAAAACAUCUUAAAAGUUCAGACAACGGUCAACUCACAUCAGCAGCUUUAUUUGUGUUAAGCCAUAAAGCACAAUCUAGUUCCAUAAUUACUUUUGAUUAAGAUCCGGAUUAAUAUUUAUAAUGUUAUUUUAUACUAUGUUAUAUGGAUUUACGUUGUAAUUGUUUUAUAUUAUAGUUAGGGAAAUGGUAAUAAAUAUAUUCGAAACAUAAAUUGGCAAUUUUAGAAUAAGAAAUUGAAGAGAUGAAAGAAAAACCAUUUUAUGUGACGUGUAAUUUCGACCUAAUCUUAGACCAUAACUAUAUUUGACCAUUCUAAAUUUUAUUGAUAACUCAUAAAUCAUCAAUUCUUUUGUUUGUUAUAGUCAGUUAAGGGUUACUAAAACAUUCAAAACUUAGUAUAUAAACUGAUCAAGCCGCUAUACAAUUAAUAGCGAGUUUCUUGAUAUUCUAGGUGAGUCUCUUGGUUUUGAAAAUAAUUUAGAUUUAAAAUUAUUUUUCUUUUAAUUUUAUUUUGAAAAAAUAAAUAAAGUUUAUAAGUAACUAAUAUUUUAAUUCAGAGGUUUAUUUUAUCAGUAAUUAUCAUUGUUAUUAUUUGGUAUUUAACUUGAAUUUUUUGUAGUAUUUUUAUCAUUGUUUUCAACUUAUUUUGACUUCAAAAUGUGUACUUUUAAAUUAUAUUGUACUUUCAAUGUUUUCUUUAUUAAAUUAAUAGCGAGUUUCUUGA